Molecule: long non-coding RNA, 135 nt
Organism: Rhagoletis pomonella (apple maggot)
Lineage: Eukaryota; Metazoa; Arthropoda; Insecta; Diptera; Tephritidae
Exons: 2
Source: RefSeq, a predicted model, not a curated record
ACCAAUUGGAGCAGAAGCUCGGCCAAGGACUUGGAAAGGAAACUGCCUUGAUCGAACUCUGGUCAUACUAUCCGCUCUACUACACUAUUCUAUGUGGCAACAUGAGGAAAUUUUUACAAGAAAUUGAGAAGAUAU